This 21-nucleotide unclassified non-coding RNA is filed under the name Chlamydomonas reinhardtii. RNAcentral describes it as "small RNA Cre_3530". The record is from RNAcentral. Lineage: Eukaryota; Viridiplantae; Chlorophyta; Chlorophyceae; Chlamydomonadales; Chlamydomonadaceae.
UGUCCAAGUCCAUCGCGGUGU